This 331-nucleotide ribosomal RNA is filed under the name uncultured eukaryote. Its description in RNAcentral is "partial 18S ribosomal RNA". It matches the Rfam family "Eukaryotic small subunit ribosomal RNA", at positions 1470 to 1796 of the family's 1831-position model. The record is from RNAcentral.
CCCUUAGAUGUUCUGGGCCGCACGCGCGCUACACUGACGAAGUCAGCGAGCAUGUCCUACGCCGACAGGUGCGGGGAAUCUUGUCAAACUUCGUCGUGAUGGGGAUUGAUUAUUGAAAUUCUUGAUCAUCAACGAGGAAUUCCUAGUAAGCGCAAGUCAGCAGCUUGCGUUGAUUACGUCCCUGCCCUUUGUACACACCGCCCGUCGCUACUACCGAUUGAAUGGUUUAGUGAGAUCUUCGGAUUGGCGCCACUGCGGCUCAGCAAUGGGCUCGGUGGAUGCCGAAAAGGUGAUCAAACUUGAUCAUUUAGAGGAAGUAAAAGUCGUAACA